This 733-nucleotide ribosomal RNA is filed under the name uncultured bacterium. RNAcentral describes it as "bacterial SSU rRNA". It matches the Rfam family "Bacterial small subunit ribosomal RNA", at positions 789 to 1515 of the family's 1533-position model. The record is from RNAcentral.
GGUAGUCCAUGCCGUAAACGUUGGGCACUAGGUGUGGGGGACAUUCCACGUUUUCCGCGCCGUAGCUAACGCAUUAAGUGCCCCGCCUGGGGAGUACGGCCGCAAGGCUAAAACUCAAAGGAAUUGACGGGGGCCCGCACAAGCGGCGGAGCAUGCGGAUUAAUUCGAUGCAACGCGAAGAACCUUACCAAGGCUUGACAUGAACCGGACCGCUGCAGAAAUGUGGUUUCCCCUUUGGGGCUGGUUUACAGGUGGUGCAUGGUUGUCGUCAGCUCGUGUCGUGAGAUGUUGGGUUAAGUCCCGCAACGAGCGCAACCCUCGUUCUAUGUUGCCAGCACGUGAUGGUGGGGACUCAUAGGAGACUGCCGGGGUCAACUCGGAGGAAGGUGGGGACGACGUCAAAUCAUCAUGCCCCUUAUGUCUUGGGCUUCACGCAUGCUACAAUGGCCGGUACAAAGGGUUGCGAUACUGUGAGGUGGAGCUAAUCCCAAAAAGCCGGUCUCAGUUCGGAUUGGGGUCUGCAACUCGACCCCAUGAAGUCGGAGUCGCUAGUAAUCGCAGAUCAGCAACGCUGCGGUGAAUACGUUCCCGGGCCUUGUACACACCGCCCGUCAAGUCACGAAAGUUGGUAACACCCGAAGCCGGUGGCCUAACCCCUUGUGGGAGGGAGCUGUCGAAGGUGGGACUGGCGAUUGGGACUAAGUCGUAACAAGGUAGCCGUACCGGAAGGUGC